RNAcentral lists this ribosomal RNA (253 nucleotides) under uncultured bacterium. RNAcentral describes it as "partial 16S ribosomal RNA". It matches the Rfam family "Bacterial small subunit ribosomal RNA", at positions 524 to 776 of the family's 1533-position model. The record is from RNAcentral.
GACGAAGGGUGCUAGCGUUGUUCGGAAUGACUGGGCGUAAAGGGCGCGUAGGCGGUCUUUUAAGUUAGGCGUGAAAGCCCCGGGCUUAACCCGGGACGUGCGUUUAAGACUGAAAGGCUUGAGUAUGGAAGAGGUAAGUGGAAUUCCUAGUGUAGAGGUGAAAUUCGUAGAUAUUAGGAAGAACACCAGUGGCGAAGGCGGCUUACUGGUCCAUUACUGACGCUGAGGCGCGAAAGUGUGGGGAGCAAACAGG